Molecule: non-coding RNA, 238 nt
Organism: Thermoanaerobacterales bacterium 50_218
Lineage: Bacteria; Bacillati; Bacillota; Clostridia; Thermoanaerobacterales
Source: Rfam
AAAGUCCGGCCAGGGGAAGAACCGGGUCACCCCUGUAGGAACCACCCGUCGUAUGGAGCAAUCCAUGCAGCGAAGCGGUGUCAUUCCGACCCGGCAGUCCGUAGCAUUAAGCGAAUCCUGCCGCGUCGUAAUGUCGCAAAGCAGAGGGUGCCGAGCCCGGUAGGUGAGGGCGAAGGCGAGAGAAGGUGCGUAGACCUGGGAAUGCAGCACCGAGGAACCCUCCGGCGUAAGGGGAGCG